This is a long non-coding RNA of Ostrea edulis (European flat oyster), 1515 nucleotides long. RefSeq lists it as uncharacterized. NCBI's taxonomy places the organism in Eukaryota, Metazoa, Mollusca, Bivalvia, Ostreida, Ostreidae. The record is from RefSeq and is a predicted model, not a curated record. The transcript has 3 exons.
AUUAGGGCCUAUUUCAGAUUUCGAAAACUAAACCUGGCACUUCUUUCGAGGAUGACGGUGAGGAGGCGGAAGAAGAUAGAGAGGAGGAGGACGAUCAGUGCCACAGUUCGCUACUCCAAGAAAGGAAAAGGGUCCUUCUUGGAUGAUCAGUGAACCCAUGAAGGCCUUUUAUGACUGACAGUGUUCCUUUGAGAAGAACAGGCCAGAGAAGGAUGCAAGGCAGCAUUGCCAGCAGGUGCACAAGGCUGCACAGGUUCUGAACGACCCUGCGUCAUUCCUGGCUCUGACCAACCUGCAGGAAAUCCGGGAGAGGUGGCUAGAGGAUUCCCGGGGGAUUUGGCUCCGGGCACCAUAAGGAACGAUCCGCUCCGGGUUUUAUGGAGAGAGAGAGAGAGAGAGAGAGAGAGAGAGAGAGGGAGAGAUAGAGUACGAGUACCUAUUUUACAUUUUGAAGCAUGUCUUGAAUAGACGAUACCUAUUUUUGUAAUCAACUCCUCUUACAGCAUUUAUUUGACAUCCUUCAGACCUUGUACAGCUGUUAUGAAAGCAUUGUAGAUGUACAUGUGUCUUUUUGGAAGUGAUAAGACAUUCUUUGAAAUAUUUGCAUGUGCAUGAUGUAGUUGAACUUCAUCAUUUCUUAAGCAUGGUACUUACUAUUUGUAACCAACUCCUCUCACAGCUUUUACUUACAUUGUUCAGACCCUGUACAUUAUUGAUGUUAUAAAAUAUUGACGAUAUACAUGUGACAUUUUAAAAAUGCUACUGUUUUUUUUUUUUUUUUUUUUUUGUUUUUUGUUUUUUUUUUUUUUUGGUUAUUUUUUUUUUUUAGAAAUUCUACAUUUAAUAUGUAAUUUUCCAGUAUGUUUUCUACUGCUGUUGAACAUAUUUUAAAGCUACCCGGUCAUUUCUGUUCUUGAAUCAACUUUUUAAAUUUGUAUUUUUGAAUAUGGUAAAAAUUACUUGCUAUGUCAUUGUUUUUUAAAUUAAAUUAAUUGAAUUGUUAUUGUGUUUUUGUAACUACAGUUUAUGUAGGAUCCCUUAAUUUCGAGCAGACAGUGCCGGAAAUGUGCCACAAAGUUGCGGCAAACUGUGUUUCGUAAAAAAAAUAAUAACAAAUCCAUCAACAUAUAGAUUCCAUUUGCAAGAUAUGACCAGAUUUUAAGUCGAAGCAGGCUACUGACAAACAAGUUAGAAGCAGGCUACUGACAGAGAAGUUAAUGUUGCAGGGUAUGAGUUUACAUUUCCUCUCCUUUCGUAACAGUAUGGCAGCCCAUGAACGAACUGCAUUUUCUCCAAUUCAGAAAUGAUGAGCACUUUACUUUUUUAUUUAAGCAGAAUUGAGACUGAAAACAUUAAAGUAGUCUUUAUUCGCAUUAGUCGCAACAGAUACUUUGUUGAAAAAGAUAACUAUGACUAAAAGAAUGUAAAAAAAAAAAUUAAUUGUAAAAUUUGACACAUAGUCAAAAUGGUCUAACCCUAGGGUUAGCAUUUAGAGUAGCGAUACCCACAUAUAGG